This 738-nucleotide ribosomal RNA is filed under the name uncultured Azospira sp. Its description in RNAcentral is "bacterial SSU rRNA". It matches the Rfam family "Bacterial small subunit ribosomal RNA", at positions 20 to 751 of the family's 1533-position model. The record is from RNAcentral. Lineage: Bacteria; Pseudomonadati; Pseudomonadota; Betaproteobacteria; Rhodocyclales; Rhodocyclaceae.
UGGCUCAGAUUGAACGCUGGCGGCAUGCCUUACACAUGCAAGUCGAACGGCAGCACGGGAGCUUGCUCCUGGUGGCGAGUGGCGAACGGGUGAGUAAUACAUCGGAACGUACCCAGGAGUGGGGGAUAACGUAGCGAAAGUUACGCUAAUACCGCAUAUUCUGUGAGCAGGAAAGCGGGGGAUCGCAAGACCUCGCGCUCUUGGAGCGGCCGAUGUCGGAUUAGCUAGUUGGUGAGGUAAAAGCUCACCAAGGCGACGAUCCGUAGCAGGUCUGAGAGGAUGAUCUGCCACACUGGGACUGAGACACGGCCCAGACUCCUACGGGAGGCAGCAGUGGGGAAUUUUGGACAAUGGGGGCAACCCUGAUCCAGCCAUGCCGCGUGAGUGAAGAAGGCCUUCGGGUUGUAAAGCUCUUUCGGCGGGGAAGAAAUGGCAACGGCUAAUAUCCGUUGUUGAUGACGGUACCCGCAUAAGAAGCACCGGCUAACUACGUGCCAGCAGCCGCGGUAAUACGUAGGGUGCGAGCGUUAAUCGGAAUUACUGGGCGUAAAGCGUGCGCAGGCGGUUUCGUAAGACAGACGUGAAAUCCCCGGGCUCAACCUGGGAACUGCGUUUGUGACUGCGAGGCUAGAGUACGGCAGAGGGGGGUAGAAUUCCACGUGUAGCAGUGAAAUGCGUAGAGAUGUGGAGGAAUACCGAUGGCGAAGGCAGCCCCCUGNNNNAGUACUGACGCUCAUG